Molecule: long non-coding RNA, 475 nt
Organism: Coffea eugenioides
Lineage: Eukaryota; Viridiplantae; Streptophyta; Magnoliopsida; Gentianales; Rubiaceae
Exons: 4
Source: RefSeq, a predicted model, not a curated record
UCAUUUCUUCAUUCUUUUUCGUUAGUUUUCCUUUCUCCUACACGAUCGUAGAUGGACUUCCAAAAAUACUCAUGGACGGUUUGCUCUGUGGUCGUGCGGGUACCGUCUCUUUUGCUGUUGUACUUUCGUAUCUCUACGUGCAAGACGGGAAGAAGACAAUUUUAGUGCUCUUAUAUUCUCGAAUGUGAAGCUUCCCUUUCGCAUCGGAUUGACGACUGUUCCGGUCUUAUCUCGUCGGGAAUUCUGUGUCCCUAUGACAACAGGGGUCAAUGAUUCCGACUCAGUGGACUCUACUUUGAUCCAAUCCAUGGGAAGGAAGAGAUGAUCUGAAAGAAAGCUUCAACUCCAGAUCUUCAAGCUAAAGUAGUAGAGUUGUUGCAGUUAAGCAAUUGGAUAGAAAUGGGCUUCAAGAUUUUCUACCUGAUAAAGAACCAUUAGAUUGGAAUACAAGAAUAAAGAUAGCAGCAGGUGUGGC